This 206-nucleotide ribosomal RNA is filed under the name uncultured bacterium. Its description in RNAcentral is "partial 16S ribosomal RNA". It matches the Rfam family "Bacterial small subunit ribosomal RNA", at positions 1295 to 1500 of the family's 1533-position model. The record is from RNAcentral.
GGACUGUAGGCUGCAACUCGCCUACACGAAGUUGGAAUUGCUAGUAAUCGUGGAUCAGCAUGCCACGGUGAAUACGUUCCCGGGUCUUGUACACACCGCCCGUCACACCAUGGGAGCUGGUAACACCCGAAGUCAGUAGUCUAACCGCAAGGAGGGCGCUGCCGAAGGUGGGAUUAGCGACUGGGGUGAAGUCGUAACAAGGUAAC